CCUACGGGAGGCAGCAGUGGGGAAUAUUGCACAAUGGGGGAAACCCUGAUGCAGCGACGCCGCGUGAGUGAAGAAGUAUUUCGGUAUGUAAAGCUCUAUCAGCAGGGAAGAGAAUGACGGUACCUGAGUAAGAAGCCCCGGCUAACUACGUGCCAGCAGCCGCGGUAAUACGUGGGGGGCAAGCGUUAUGGAUUUACUGGGUGUAAAGGGAGCGUAGACGGCGAGUAAAGUCUGAAGUGAAAGCCCGCGGCUCAACCGCGGAACUUCUUUGGAAACUUUUUUGCUUGAGUACCGGAGAGGUAAGCGGAAUUCCUAGUGUAGCGGUGAAAUGCGUAGAUAUUAGGAGGAACACCAGUGGCGAAGGCGGCUUACUGGACGGUAACUGACGUUGAGGCUCGAAAGCGUGGGGAGCAAACAGGAUUAGAUACCCCAGUAGUC
RNAcentral lists this ribosomal RNA (438 nucleotides) under uncultured bacterium. Its description in RNAcentral is "partial 16S ribosomal RNA". It matches the Rfam family "Bacterial small subunit ribosomal RNA", at positions 338 to 795 of the family's 1533-position model. The record is from RNAcentral.